GAAAUGCGAUAAGUAAUGUGAAUUGCAGAAUUCAGUGAAUCAUCGAAUCUUUGAACGCACAUUGCGCCCGGCAGUAUUCUGGCGGGCAUGCCUGUCCGAGCGUCAUUUCAACCAUCAAGCCCCCGGGCUUGUGUUGGGGACCUGCGGCUGCCCGCAGGCCCUGAAAACCAGUGGCGGGCUCGCUGUCACACCGAGCGUAGUAGCAAUCACCUCGCUCAGGGCGUGCUGCGGGUUCCGGCCGUUAAACAGCCUUACAAAACCCAAGGUUGACCUCGGAUCAGGUAGGAAGACCCGCUGAACUUAAGC
This 306-nucleotide unclassified non-coding RNA is filed under the name plant metagenome. RNAcentral's name for it is "partial contains 5.8S ribosomal RNA, internal transcribed spacer 2, and large subunit ribosomal RNA". The stretch from base 1 to 105 matches the Rfam family "5.8S ribosomal RNA", at positions 50 to 154 of the family's 154-position model. The record is from RNAcentral.